GACGAACGCUGGCGGCGUGCUUAACACAUGCAAGUCGAACGGUGAAGGGGUCUGCUUUUGUGGGCCCUGGAUGAGUGGCGCACGGGUGAGUAACACGUGAGUAACCUGCCCCCUUCUUCUGGAUAACCGCAUGAAAGUGUGGCUAAUACGGGAUAUUCUGGGUCUGUCGCAUGAUGGGUCUGGGAAAGAUUGCGCCUUUGGGUGUUUUUGGUGGGGGAUGGGCUCGCGGCCUAUCAGCUUGUUGGUGGGGUGAUGGCCUACCAAGGCGGUGACGGGUAGCCGGCCGGAGAGGGUGGACGGUCACACUGGGACUGGGACACGGCCCAGACUCCUACGGGAGGCAGCAGUGGGGAAUAGUGCACAAUGGGCGCAAGCCUGAUGCAGCGACGCCGCGUGAGGGAUGGAGGCCUUCGGGUUGUAAGCCUCUUUCGCCAGUGAAGCAGGCCUGCUCCUUGUGGGUGGGUUGACGGUAGCUGGAUAAGAAGCGCCGGCUAACUACGU
Molecule: ribosomal RNA, 501 nt
Filed under: uncultured bacterium
Lineage: Bacteria
Description: partial 16S ribosomal RNA
Rfam family: Bacterial small subunit ribosomal RNA
Source: RNAcentral